This 242-nucleotide ribosomal RNA is filed under the name uncultured bacterium. RNAcentral's name for it is "partial 16S ribosomal RNA". It matches the Rfam family "Bacterial small subunit ribosomal RNA", at positions 92 to 334 of the family's 1533-position model. The record is from RNAcentral.
CUAGUGGCGGACGGGUGAGUAACACGUGAGCAACCUGCCUUUCAGAGGGGAAUAACGUUUGGAAACGAACGCUAAUACCGCAUAACAUGAUUUUAUGGCAUCAUAGGAUCAUCAAAGAUUUAUCGCUGAAAGAUGGGCUCGCGCCUGAUUAGCUGGUUGGUGAGGUAACGGCUCACCAAGGCGACGAUCAGUAGCCGGACUGAGAGGUUGAUCGGCCACAUUGGGACUGAGACACGGCCCAG